Molecule: unclassified non-coding RNA, 250 nt
Filed under: plant metagenome
Description: partial contains small subunit ribosomal RNA, internal transcribed spacer 1, and 5.8S ribosomal RNA
Source: RNAcentral
GUAGGUGAACCUGCGGAAGGAUCAUUACAGAGUUUCGAAGCCUAGGAAAAAGCAGCCGAGAGGUGAACUGUUCCUAGGAUUGAGAUCUCCACCCUUUGUUUAUAUUACCUUUGUUGCUUUAGCAGGCCCGCUCUCGGGCCGCCGGCUUCGGCUGGUCAGUGCCUGCUAGAGGACCUAAAACUCUUGUUAAUAAUAUUGUCUGAGUACUAUAUAAUAGUUAAAACUUUCAACAACGGAUCUCUUGGUUCUG